Molecule: ribosomal RNA, 253 nt
Filed under: uncultured bacterium
Lineage: Bacteria
Description: partial 16S ribosomal RNA
Rfam family: Bacterial small subunit ribosomal RNA
Source: RNAcentral
UACGUAGGGUGCAAGCGUUAAUCGGAAUUACUGGGCGUAAAGCGUGCGCAGGCGGUUAUGUAAGACAGGUGUGAAAUCCCCGGGCUUAACCUGGGAACUGCAUUUGUGACUGCAUAGCUAGAGUACGGUAGAGGGGGAUGGAAUUCCGCGUGUAGCAGUGAAAUGCGUAGAUAUGCGGAGGAACACCGAUGGCGAAGGCAGCCCCCUGGGCUAACACUGACGCUGAUGCACGAAAGCGUGGGGAGCAAACAGG